RNAcentral lists this ribosomal RNA (1752 nucleotides) under Salmonella enterica. RNAcentral's name for it is "partial 23S ribosomal RNA". It matches the Rfam family "Bacterial large subunit ribosomal RNA", at positions 1200 to 2925 of the family's 2925-position model. The record is from RNAcentral. Lineage: Bacteria; Pseudomonadati; Pseudomonadota; Gammaproteobacteria; Enterobacterales; Enterobacteriaceae.
CUGCGGCAGCGACGCUGAUGCGUUGUUGGGUAGGGGAGCGUUCUGUAAGCCUGUGAAGGUGGCCUGUGAGGGUUGCUGGAGGUAUCAGAAGUGCGAAUGCUGACAUAAGUAACGAUAAAGCGGGUGAAAAGCCCGCUCGCCGGAAGACCAAGGGUUCCUGUCCAACGUUAAUCGGGGCAGGGUGAGUCGACCCCUAAGGCGAGGCCGAAAGGCGUAGUCGAUGGGAAACGGGUUAAUAUUCCCGUACUUGGUGUUACUGCGAAGGGGGGACGGAGAAGGCUAUGUUGGCCGGGCGACGGUUGUCCCGGUUUAAGCGUGUAGGUGUGUGUUCCAGGUAAAUCCGGUUCACUUUAACACUGAGGCGUGAUGACGAGGCACUACGGUGCUGAAGCAACAAAUGCCCUGCUUCCAGGAAAAGCCUCUAAGCAUCAGGUAACAUCAAAUCGUACCCCAAACCGACACAGGUGGUCAGGUAGAGAAUACCAAGGCGCUUGAGAGAACUCGGGUGAAGGAACUAGGCAAAAUGGUGCCGUAACUUCGGGAGAAGGCACGCUGACACGUAGGUGAAGUGAUUUACUCAUGGAGCUGAAGUCAGUCGAAGAUACCAGCUGGCUGCAACUGUUUAUUAAAAACACAGCACUGUGCAAACACGAAAGUGGACGUAUACGGUGUGACGCCUGCCCGGUGCCGGAAGGUUAAUUGAUGGGGUCAGCGCAAGCGAAGCUCCUGAUCGAAGCCCCGGUAAACGGCGGCCGUAACUAUAACGGUCCUAAGGUAGCGAAAUUCCUUGUCGGGUAAGUUCCGACCUGCACGAAUGGCGUAAUGAUGGCCAGGCUGUCUCCACCCGAGACUCAGUGAAAUUGAACUCGCUGUGAAGAUGCAGUGUACCCGCGGCAAGACGGAAAGACCCCGUGAACCUUUACUAUAGCUUGACACUGAACAUUGAGCCUUGAUGUGUAGGAUAGGUGGGAGGCUUUGAAGUGUGGACGCCAGUCUGCAUGGAGCCGGCCUUGAAAUACCACCCUUUAAUGUUUGAUGUUCUAACGUGGACCCGUGAUCCGGGUUGCGGACAGUGUCUGGUGGGUAGUUUGACUGGGGCGGUCUCCUCCUAAAGAGUAACGGAGGAGCACGAAGGUUGGCUAAUCCUGGUCGGACAUCAGGAGGUUAGUGCAAUGGCAUAAGCCAGCUUGACUGCGAGCGUGACGGCGCGAGCAGGUGCGAAAGCAGGUCAUAGUGAUCCGGUGGUUCUGAAUGGAAGGGCCAUCGCUCAACGGAUAAAAGGUACUCCGGGGAUAACAGGCUGAUACCGCCCAAGAGUUCAUAUCGACGGCGGUGUUUGGCACCUCGAUGUCGGCUCAUCACAUCCUGGGGCUGAAGUAGGUCCCAAGGGUAUGGCUGUUCGCCAUUUAAAGUGGUACGCGAGCUGGGUUUAGAACGUCGUGAGACAGUUCGGUCCCUAUCUGCCGUGGGCGCUGGAGAACUGAGGGGGGCUGCUCCUAGUACGAGAGGACCGGAGUGGACGCAUCACUGGUGUUCGGGUUGUCAUGCCAAUGGCACUGCCCGGUAGCUAAAUGCGGAAGAGAUAAGUGCUGAAAGCAUCUAAGCACGAAACUUGCCCCGAGAUGAGUUCUCCCUGAGACUUUAGGUCUCCUGAAGGAACGUUGAAGACGACGACGUUGAUAGGCCGGGUGUGUAAGCGCAGCGAUGCGUUGAGCUAACCGGUACUAAUGAACCGUGAGGCUUAACCUUACA